Molecule: long non-coding RNA, 596 nt
Organism: Strigops habroptila (Kakapo)
Lineage: Eukaryota; Metazoa; Chordata; Aves; Psittaciformes; Psittacidae
Exons: 2
Source: RefSeq, a predicted model, not a curated record
ACGGCCCGGCCCGGCCCGGCCCGGGGGCGGUGGCUGUGAGCGCGGCGCCGUGAGGAGCCCCGGCGGGGCCGCCCUUCCUGCGGCAGCAGCGGGGGCCGUGCGUGUUGUUAGAGCUGCGGAGCCGGCCCGGCCUCCGCGAGCGGCCCUUCGGCACAGCCGUCUGCCUCAGCAGGGCAGUGGGAAAGGAGAGAAGAGCUUUAUUGGGGAUUGCACAGCUCUUGUGCUGUGACUGUAGCUCCUUUAGAUCGCUGAGAGAACGCAGAGUGACCUAUUUCUUCCAUGAGACUUCAACACGAUACCUUUCCAUUAGCUAAGCAACUAGCAGAAAAUACUCCAGGGAGCAGCAUCAAGCCAAAAGUUCUCCAGGGAGCAGUAUGUAGUGCAUGAGCAGUGAGACUUUGGUUCAGCUCCCUACUUCCCAUGCAAUAUUGGUGCCUCUUUGAAUCAUAGCUCCACAUGUAUAAACCAGGGAAUAACGGUAUCUCCCUGGAGAGACUGAUGGGAAGAUAAUACACUCAGGACUGUGUGACAAUACAGGAUCAGCCCCUGUAAGACCUACUGAUGAAAAGCAGCACAUAAAAGCCACCCAGGUAUUA